GACGAACGCUGGCGGCGUGCUUAACACAUGCAAGUCGAACGGAAAGGCCCUGCUUUUGUGGGGUGCCCGAGUGGCGAACGGGUGAGUAACACGUGAGUAACCUGCCCUUGACUUUGGGAUAACUUCAGGAAACUGGGGCUAAUACCGGAUAGGAGCUCCUGCUGCAUGGUGGGGGUUGGAAAGUUUCGGCGGUUGGGGAUGGACUCGCGGCUUAUCAGCUUGUUGGUGGGGUAGUGGCUUACCAAGGCUUUGACGGGUAGCCGGCCUGAGAGGGUGACCGGCCACAUUGGGACUGAGAUACGGCCCAGACUCCUACGGGAGGCAGCAGUGGGGAAUAUUGCACAAUGGGCGGAAGCCUGAUGCAGCAACGCCGCGUGCGGGAUGACGGCCUUCGGGUUGUAAACCGCUUUCGCCUGUGACGAAGCGUGAGUGACGGUAAGGGGUAAAGAAGCACCGGCUAACUACGUGC
This 469-nucleotide ribosomal RNA is filed under the name uncultured bacterium. RNAcentral's name for it is "partial 16S ribosomal RNA". It matches the Rfam family "Bacterial small subunit ribosomal RNA", at positions 28 to 508 of the family's 1533-position model. The record is from RNAcentral.